This 467-nucleotide ribosomal RNA is filed under the name uncultured bacterium. RNAcentral describes it as "partial 16S ribosomal RNA". It matches the Rfam family "Bacterial small subunit ribosomal RNA", at positions 28 to 506 of the family's 1533-position model. The record is from RNAcentral.
GACGAACGCUGGCGGCGUGCUUAACACAUGCAAGUCGAACGGAAAGGCCCUGCUUUUGUGGGGUGCUCGAGUGGCGAACGGGUGAGUAACACGUGAGUAACCUGCCCUUGACUUUGGGAUAACUUCAGGAAACUGGGGCUAAUAUCGGAUAGGAGCUCCUGCUGCAUGGUGGGGGUUGGAAAGUUUCGGCGGUUGGGGAUGGACUCGCGGCUUAUCAGCUUGUUGGUGGGGUUGUGGCUUACCAAGGCUUUGACGGGUAGCCGGCCUGAGAGGGUGACCGGCCCCAUAGGGCUUGGGGUGCGACCCGUACUCAUUCGGGGGGCAGGGGUGGGAACUUUUGCCAGAUGGGCCGCGGCCUGGAGGAGCGACGCCGCGUGCGAAAUGACGGCUUUCGGGUUGUAAACCGCUUUCGCCUGUGACGAAGCGUGAGGGACGGUACUAGGGAAAGAGGCACCGGCUACCUACGU